CCCUUAGAUGUUCUAGGCUGCACGCGUGCUACACUGAUAUUGCCAAUAUGUCAUUCUUAUCCGAAAUGGAUUGGGUAAUCAAGUAAUGAAAUUUCAUGCUUGGAAUCGGUAAUUGCAAUUUUAUCGUGAACGAGGAAUUCCUAGUAAGCACUAGUCAUCAGCUAAUGUUGAUUAUGUCCCUGCCCUUUGUACACACCGCCCGUCGCUACUACUGAUUGGGUGUUCAAGUGAGAUGCUUAGACCCUUGUUGCAUGGUUCAUUAUUGUGCUCCGAAAGGAAAAAGUUUCAAGCUUGAGUGUCUAGAGGAAGUAAAAGUCGUAACA
Molecule: ribosomal RNA, 323 nt
Filed under: uncultured eukaryote
Lineage: Eukaryota
Description: partial 18S ribosomal RNA
Rfam family: Eukaryotic small subunit ribosomal RNA
Source: RNAcentral